GCCUAAUAGAUCAUGAUCUGAUCUAUCAGUCUAUGUAAUGGUCUACUACACCUUUAUAUAAAAAAGUAAUGAGGGGACCCUCGAGGUAUGCCAUAUUGAGUUCAUACUCUCCAUUCUACUAUGCUCAAGCUCUGGCUAAUUUAAGCAUCUGAGAAUCUUCCAUCGGAGAACCCUCGUAUAUACAAAUUCUACCAAUUGGGAUAUUAAGGCU
Molecule: long non-coding RNA, 211 nt
Filed under: Elaeis guineensis (African oil palm)
Lineage: Eukaryota; Viridiplantae; Streptophyta; Magnoliopsida; Arecales; Arecaceae
Description: long non-coding RNA (EGUI_LNC004188)
Source: RNAcentral